AAACCACUUGGGUACUUCUCUGCUUGGAAUCUCACAGGGCAGAGUCUACUUGGCAUGGAUGGGUGCUCAUUUAAGUACUUCAACUGAAAAAGCAGUCAAUGAUUCCCAAAGCGGCCAGUUGGAACAAUUUUUGUUGCCCAGCAUACCCUGAGCCACACACGUUACACAAAAUUAGCAAAAGAAUUAAGUCUCUUAUGCUUAAUGUCUUUGGAGAAUAAAGAUUACUAAUUUUUUCAUGAUGCUGGAGGGAAUUAUUCUUACCAAUUAAGGCAACAAAAUGAUCUUUUUGGUUUUUUUAAAGUCUCUUUUGCAAACUAUCUUAUUUCAAAAAUAUUACCUGACAGAAUAUAUAACUUCAAGAAUAAACUCUGUGCACUUUGGACGAUAAUGAUGUGUUAAGGUAAGCGCCAUCAUGAUAAAGAUUGAGAUAAGAAAAAUCAAUAGAUAUUAAAUCCUGGGGAAAAUUCUAAUGAGCAGGGUAACUGCAUGGUCUGUCUCUCCACGGACUACUCAGCUGCAAGAAAAGACAAAUACAGGAAUUCUGCAGUGGAGAAGGUAAAAAGCAUCCUGAGUGGGUGAUCAAAUUAAUAUCACCAAUGAGGGGACAGGAGGCCACUGUGGCCUCCAGAGUGUCCAGGAAACACUCCUGCCCAGGCAGUGUUCCAGCCUAGAAUGCACAGAAUUCCUAGAGUCUCAAUACAGGAAAACAUCAAAUUCAGAACCAAAGUUCUAUUAAAACAAAGGGAAAAAUGUUAAUGUUGUAAAAGACAAAGUAGGCUAUGAGCACGUUCCAGAUUUAAAGAAGGUUAAAGAAACACAGCAACUAAGUCCAACACCAGACUCUAGACUGGAUCCUGUACUAGAGGGGACAGUACAAUAAAGGACAUUAAUCUAGUCCACAGACAAAAUGGGCAGAUGGGCGGUAGAUUAAAAUAUUCUAUCAAUGUGAAAUUUGCUAAUGUUGGUAACUGUACUAUGGUCAAGCAGGAAAAUAUCCCUAUUUUUAGGAGAUAUAUGAAGAAGUAUUUAGGAGUCAAGAGCCAUGAGGUAUACAUAACCUAUCCUCAUAGCGUUCAGGAAAAAAAAAAAAGUGUGUGUAUUUUUAGAGAGAUCGCACAAAUGAUAAAGCAAGCAGGGUAGAACAGUAACAAAGGUGAGUCUGGGUAAAGGGUAUAUGUCUUUGUACUACUAUUAUUUUUUGCAAUUUUGAAUAUAUUUGCAAGUUUGUAUUUCAAAAAAAAAAAAAGUUUAUGUUGGAUUCUGGAUGGAAUCCUCAGUUCAGUUGAUCUCAAUGGAAACAGAAAAUCCCACCCAAGUUCCAGUAACAAUCUCUCCAAAGCCUUGAUUGUGGCUGAGGCAGGUGUGAAAGAGGACUUUUGAAGCUCUAGCUCCUCCUGGCUCAAAGACCACAGACUCGAAUGUCAUGAGCCUGGCUGUGUACACAGACUUCCGUCAGACAGAGCCCCCUGAUGCUAACUGGAGCACUGACUCAAGGGUGAGUCCACAGAAAGCUUCAGACCCUCCAAAGAAAUCUGCCCCCAGUAGAAGAGUGCCUGUUUUUCUGAACCACCACCAAUACUGAGUAGCAUCAGUCCUUUCCAUUUUUCCAAACUGAUGGGUGAAAACUGGAAAGCUGUUUUGAAUUACACUUCUUUAUUCUCAGUUGAGGCUGAAGAUUUUCAUUUGAAUAUGGACCAGUUGCAUUUUUUGUGUGUGAACUGCCUAUAUCAAUCCAUUGUCUACUUUUUAUUAGGUUUGCCUUUCUUUUACAGAUUUGAAGGGGUUUUUUUGAAAGAUUUCUUCAAGUAGUCUAGAUUUGAAUCCCUUGUCUGCUAUAUAGAUUCCAAAGGGUAUCUGUUGCUUGUCUUUUUGGCUUUGUGUAUGGUAUCUGGUAUUCUACCAGAGGCAUUUAGAGGUUUGACAUAGUAAAAUAUGUAACUCUUUUCCUUCCUUCAUGGGUUUUGGACUUUGUGGCUUGUGUGGGAAUUCCCUCCCCACCCUGUGAUUAUAAAACACUGUCUUUUCUCCUAGUUAUUUUCUAGGUUUUUUGUUUUUGUUUUUUUUUUUUUUUUAAAUAAAAUAAGGUCUUUGUUUCAUCUGGGUGGAAUGUGGUAUGAAUUCGACUUUCUCCCUGUAUGAAUACCCAACUAAGCUCACCAUUGUUGAGCUAUUAUUAUCUGACGCAGCACGCUACCCCUAUCACCUAUUCUCUGCAUAUACAGGGUUUGCUUCUGGACUCUAUUCUCGUCUCACUGCUCCACCUACUUGCAUGCUAACAGCACCUUGUUUUCAUUACCUUUAUAUGCUGCGUUAAAAGGGGCCAAGCUCAUCCUUUACUAUUCUUUUUCACAAUUUCCUUGCAGACUGUGCUUCUAGUUCAACUUCAGAAUUAGCCUGUCAAAGUUCCAAUAAACAUCUGUUGAAAUUCUGAUCAGGUUUCCUUUUGGGGAGAAGUAGCACUUUUAUAAUACUCAGCCUUCCUAUUUCUAGACAAUCCUAAGGGUCUUCACUGCCUCAGGCAUUCUUUCAUUCAGUCCCACACCUCAUACAGUGCCUGGCAAACAUUCAAGAGAUGUGUGUUGCAUAAUUUUAAGUUUCAUAUUCCCUUCAUAUAGGUUUGCAUAUAUUUUGUAAAGGUUAUUCCUAUACAUAGUUUUUGUUGCUACAAUAAAAGGAAUCUUGUUUUUCAUUUUUUCAUUGUAUCCUCUGACUAGUUGCUGGCGUAUAAGAAAGCAGCGGCUCUUUGUAUGGUGGCCUUGAAUCCGGUCACCAUUCUGAAGUAUCAUUUCUAAUAGUUUUAGUUCUCCUAAGUGUCCAGUUCAGUAAUCAUAUCCUCUACAAUAAUGUCAAUUUAGUUUCUUUCCAAUAUAAACAUAGCUUACUUCUCUGUAAAAAUGUUUUGCCUCACCUAGGCCCCCAGAGCAACGUUAACAUAGCAGUGAUAACAGGCAUCCUUGUUUAUUCCCGGCUAGAGAGGAAUUCUUUUAUCAAACAUCUAUAUAAGUAAAAUGUCAUCAUAGCCUUUUCUGUAGGUUUAUGGUAGAUAUCUAUAGAUAUUUGUUUAUAAUUCAUUUUUAAUUUGCAAGUAGUUUUAACUAUUAAUAGGAACUGGAUUUUAUUCACUGCUUUUGUGGCAUCUAUCAAGCUGACCUCACAUGUUUUUUCUUCUUUAAUCUGUUAAUGUGAUGAAGUGGUAUAUACUGGUUAAAAAGAAGGAGUGUCUACUACUUUCUGGAGUCAGAUGGGUGCUGGGACCCUGGCUCCACUACUUUCAUGCCUCUGUGACCAUGGGCAUGAAUUACUUGACCGUGCUAAGCUUCAGUUUCCACCCGCUCUGUAAAAUAGGAGUAAUAAUCCCACUUGUGAUUUAAGGCAUGUCAGGCAGUUGGCCCAGUGUCAAUAAAUAUUGGCUCAAUAAAUAUUUGUUCUUAUUAUAAAGGAUCACUAUCCUAACGUUGAACCCUUUACAAAUAAGGUAGAGAGAAUGGCAACCAAACCCACAGAAAUCAGCCACUAAAACUGGAGAGGAUUUCUAACAGGUUUGUGUGGCUCGUGAACCAAUAGAUGGAACGUAAGGUGAGGGGCAUGAACUCCCCUAUAAAACGGCACAAAAUUCUGGUGUGUGUGCUAUUUCCUGGAGAGAGUACAUAGCUUUUUCCAAAGAGUUCUAUGUCUUAGGAAAGUUACUGUUUUAGGUGGGGGGAGAUACACAAGCCAGUGGUUAAGGGCAGAUCACCACAAAAGUUCACUGCAACGUGGAGGAAGCCAGACAUCCUGGCCAGUGGAGCGGGUACCCCUUGAGCCUUGGUUCCAGUGUCAAAGCAAAUGAACAUGGGAAAGGGCCUCCCCAAAAUAACUUUCCCACCUUCUUUUUUUCUUUGUUCUCUUUCAAAAGUGCCAAUACCUGAACCAAGUCAGAUCUGCAGAAACGUGGAGACCUUCAAGAGCAAGGGAAGAAGUGCUCAGAGAGGGCCGCUUGGAUGACACCAAAGAAAAGCCUCAUCUGUGUCCUGCUUUUAUGGGCUGAGAGACUAGAAAGAGCCCACUGACUAGUCCUGUUAGAAUAAGAAGACAACAGGAACACAAGAGAUCUAAGAUAAGGAUGACGUCGCCACCUUUAAUUACUUGCCUGUUGCACAGCUUUUUGGGAAGAUUUAUGUCAAGUAUAUGAGACAAAAUGUUGACCAGCUGAGUCGCAUAGCACAACGCAGCGCUGAUCGUGUAAGCGGGGUUACUGUGCUCCAUGUCUGAGUAGAAAAACAAUCAUACACAAACAACUUUAAUUUCAACAAAAAAUACCAAUGAACCUAGGUUUCAUGAUUUGUAAUUUAAUCAUUAUGCUGUUGAUGGUUAUGUUUUGAUCCUUACUUACAAAGGGUUCAUGGCCAGACAUUAAUGUUUCAUCAUUUAUGGUUUUGUGCUGAGUAGAAUGUAACCUAAGCAUAUGGGCCUAAGCAGGCACAACAUAAAUGAAAUUAAAGUCUGAACUGCUUGGACCUGAGGAGGUAUUAUUUAUCAAAGCAGUCAGUUAAUGCUCAACUUAAGUGUCACCUUCUCGGAGAGGCCUCCCCUGACUGCCCUGUGGAAAAGCAGUCCCUUCCUGUGUAGCCCCACCCCACAAAUGGUGCUGGAUCUGUCCAGGACACACACUCAGUAAGAUGCCUUUGAUCAGUGCUUGCUUCCUGUCCUUCUACCCACAGAAAGGCAAAGGGCUACACCCGUCUUGGUGACAUCGCCCUUGUGUCACCAGCACCCAGCACUGUGCGUGACAGAAAGCACAUACUCACUAUACAUUUGCUAAAUGACUAAAUGAACAAUCUUCUUUCCACCAAAGAAACCUAUAGGGGUUUUUAAGGGUUUUUCUAUUAGGGUACUUCUAUCUCCAUGUAGGCCUGCUAAAAACAAGUUCUUUACAAAGAAACUCUAAAAACGGGAUUCACAACACGCUAAAUAUACUAACUAGUGAAGUCUUUUAUAUAAAUAGAGCAAUAUCGUCCCCUAAAAGGUGAAAUAUCUAAAAAAUAUUUCAAUCCAUCCACUGACUGGAUAUAAAACGUGGUAUAUCCACAUUACAUACAAUAGAAUACUAUUCAGUUAUAAAAAGAAUGAAAUGCUAAUACAUGCUACAAUAUGGAUGAACCUUGAAAACAUCAUGCUAUGUAAAAAAAUCGAGACACAGAAGGCCACACAUAUAUGAGCCUAUUUUUAUGAAAUAUUCAAAACAGGCACAUCUCUAGAGACAGAAAACUACAGAUCUUCCUUGACUUAUGAUGGGGCUGUGCCUUGAUACACCCAUAACUUAGCCUGGCCUGCCUUACACAGGUCCAGAACACUUCCAUUAGCCUACAGCUCGGCAAAAUCAUCUACCACAAAGCCUGUUUAUAAUAAAGUGUUGACUAUCUCAUGCUACGUAAUGAAUACCGUACAGAAAGGGAAACACCGAACAGUCAUCAGUGCGUCUACCAGCUGUUGACCCUCGUGACUGCGUGGCUGCCUGGAAGCUAUGGCCACCAGUGCCCAGCAUCACGGGAGGGUAUGUACCACAUCUCACUAGCCCAGGAAAAGAUCAAAAUUCAAAGCGUGGUUUCUACUGAAUGUGUAUGGCUUUUAUACCACCAUAACGUCAAAAAAUCCUAAGGUGAACCACUGUAAGUUAGGAUCAUCUGUAGGGGUUGCCAAGGGCUGGGAAGAGAGGGGACGGGGGAGACAGUUUCAUGCCCCGGAGUUUCCGUUUGGGGUGAUAAAAGUGCUCUGGAACUAAACAGAGGUGGUAACUGCACAAUACUGUGAACGUACUAAUGUCCCUGAAUUUUUUACACUUUAAAACUGUUCAUCUUGUUAGGUCAAUUCUAGCUCAAUUAAAAAAAUACAUAUACUUAUAAAAGUU
Molecule: long non-coding RNA, 5887 nt
Organism: Felis catus (domestic cat)
Lineage: Eukaryota; Metazoa; Chordata; Mammalia; Carnivora; Felidae
Exons: 2
Source: RefSeq, a predicted model, not a curated record